UCAAUAAAGAGUGGUUAGGGUUGUUUCUAUCUUUCUUUCUCUUUCUUCCUCCUCCACCCCAACUUCUUUAGAAUACAUCUGAAACCGGCCAGGAAGUUCAUUGCCGCCUCCGAUUGUUAAUGGAAGGGCAUGGUGUGAUGGAUAUCUGCUUUUGUUAAUGGGAGAAACGUGGUGUUUCUGUUUGGUUAGAAAGAAAAACGUACAGUAAUGUUGCUAAUCUUGUAAUUUAACGUUUUAUAACCUGCGACUUUAUUUAGUUCUCUUCAUUUACAUCUAAAAUGAACAUUUUUUUUUCUUCAAUUCUUAUUCCGAUGAACACACCGGAGAGAUCUAGUAACUGGACUUGUACUGAUUGGAUUCUGUAGAGUCUGUCCCUUUAUGGAUUGGGGAUUGAUUCUUCUUCUACUGAUCUUACUCAUCUCUAAGUCUCCAGAUCGAAUACUACUACUGGUAAUUUAUGUUGGGUGAUUUUCGUUUUCCUAAGAAAAUCCUUGAGUAUAAAGCUGAAGCUUGUAUAGAACCAAGUUCAGGCUCGGAACCAGAAGAAUAAGUAAUCUUUACUGUGCCUACUCUCUGGGUAUUCAUUUUAUUCGAUAUUAUACUUUAUAUUAUUUCGAAUUAUUCAAUACUGUUUUUCUUAUUUUGAUUGAAACUUUUUGCUUUUCUAAGAUUAUGAGUCCAUCUGAUAUUAGUUUGCAACUUUUAUUAGAGUCGUGUAAUUUGGAUGAAACAAAAUAUAUUAAGGUCAUGUAUUUAUGUUGAUGUUUGCAUGUUAUGGUUACAAUGUCUACUAGCUGCCUGUGUCAGGAUCUAAAAGUAAAAAAAUUAUUUCAGAAACAUAUUGUUGACCAAAUCAAAUAGAAGAUGCAAACAAGUGGAUUACAUCUUCCAAGAAGUUCGCCUAGUCUAUCUUCAAAUGGGGUGCGAUAGAACAAAGCUUCAUGGUUAUCCAGCUAUUCCAAUAGGAAUACGGAAUCGGCAAUUUGCUGCUAAUUAAAUGGUUAAAUCAGUUUCAAUGGGUAUAAAGAUGAUGUGCUAUGUUUCCACUAAGAUAAAUUCAUCCAAGAGAAGAGACCAGAGUUCACGGCUGAAGGAUCUAGAAAUUGACAUAAUGUUAAGAAUGGAGAUAAUUGUGCAUUUAUGGGAAAAGUGGAUUUUGCACUUCAAUCAUGUAGAGGCUGGUGAAUAUGAAGAACACACCUCAACAUAUAUGCAUACACUACCGAAAGAGCAAUGCAUGAAAACAGAUUAUGACGAUUGUGUUUGGUGGCUUGCACUUCAACCGUGUGCUUUCAAAGGUCAGGAUGACUCAAAAACAGGGACGGACUUAGCCCUCCCGGUCCACAAGCCUAAUUUUUCCCAUUUUUUGGUUAAUCAUGUGUAUUAGUCCGGGUCUAAAAUGAAAAAUCCGGAUCCGUCCCUGCUCAAAAACAUCAACGGAAUUGUGGUAAUUUUAUUGAGAUGGUGCAGUAUUCAGCCACAUCCAGUGAGAAGGUGAACGAGGCUAUCUUAGAAACUGCUCGCCGAGAUGGUACUUAUACCUCGCCUCUUACUUACUCGAAGAGAUAUUUUGAAUAUAAUUUCUAGUAAAAUCAGAAAUAAGAUAAGUGAGGAAGUUGAAUAUGAGAAACAUUGUAUAUUUGAUGAGUCAUUUGAUGCGUCCAAGAAAGGGCGAACUGGGAUCAUUUAAAGCCUUACGCGAUCUGCUCAUGAAAAUGAAUUUAACGAAAGUUUGGCUGCUGGUGAACUUUAAGACAGGUAAAUAGGCUUAUUAAAUAAGUACGUGGUCGCGAUACUGGUUGGAGUUCUCAUUAUAGUUUUGUAUGCAAUGUGGCGUAACUUUUACAACUAAUUAACAUACUAGUAACUGUGAUCCGAACGAGUCAUGUUCUUUUAGCAAACCAUUUGAUAUUUUUGAUGCUAUAAUUAAUUUUUUAGUUGUGGUCCUUGGUAAUCUUACGAUUGAUAAAGGAGAAACUAAUACUAGCGGGUUGAUACCAAUCCAAAAAUUGAUAAAGGGGAUACUAGUAUUAGUGGCAUUGAUAUCAAUCCAGAAAUCCAGUGACCAGGAUUAUUGUGUUUUAUAUGGAUUGGUAUCCCCUUUAUAAUUAUGAAUUUUUUUUUAGAAUUUUAAUUUAUUAAGUGACAUCCUUAUAUUUAGUUUUUGGAGAGUUUGGUGCUUACCUGCGAAAAUGAGAGCUAUCCAUUUUUAUCAUGAGGUGUCAUGGAGAGAUGGUCUAAUGCCACACAAAAGGGCCCCCUUGUUAAUCUCAAUCCAGGGGAUCAAUGGGCUAAAAUCUGACACCUGAUAGGGAAAAUGGAUGGGAAAAAUCUAUGGAGGAAGUGUAGCACUGUCGACAGCUUACGAGUUUAGUCAUAGUCUUAUAUUACAUGGCUUCUCACAGGCAGGUCAGGCAACAUUGUAGCUGAUUCCCUUGGCUUUGGCUACAUUCUGGCGGACACCAGCCACUAUGGUCCAUGUAUGUAUACGUUAUUGAAUUUCUGUCACCAUGUAAGCUUUUUCCAUAAGACUUGGUUUUUCUCUUGGCUCGGCUCCAUGUCUUGUUUAUGGCCAAGGAAAAGAGCCACCAUAGCGCCUGGCCUAAGGCUUCAGACAAGGAGAGACCAAGGUCCGCCACACCAGGUUUACUUUUUUUGUUUUAGUAAGACUGCGUUUCUUUUGAAUCCCUAUUUAGCGCCUUCACAAAAGAAAACCCAGACACCAACACAAGAAAAAAAAAACACAGCUACUAAUUGUGAGUUCCUCCAUUAAGGAACAUUUGGGCUCUGCUUCUUUUACAACUCCCCUCUGAUUUUCAUCAUCAUCAACAUCUACUCUGUUCCCCCAAAUCUUUUCAGGUCAGGUGUUUAAGCAAGAACAUUUUGAGGAAUAUCUUAAAGAAAACUCAAGCGUGUCAAACACAGGUGUGCUCUAACUCACAAAGAUUGGGAUCACCAACUGAAGACAAGGAGCCGAUCACUUGUCAUUGAGCUGCGUUGGUUGGUUUUGUCGUUACUAUAUCGUCGUCUUCUUAUCAAAUUCAGCCUUACUAAUUGGACUUCGUCCAGCUUUUCAGCUGCAUUGGUUGGUUUUCUCGAGUUGUGGAAUAACUUUUCAGGAAAGAGGAGAAAGAGGAGAAAGAGAAAUUGGCAUUAGAUUAUGGUGUAGCUCUGAUGAAAUUUAUUAGCACCCAGUCAUACUCAGAGAAGCAGUUAGCGGGGGAUACCCUAUGGACCUAUUUUUACUUGAAGAAUUUGCUGAGGUGUAUGACGCUACAAUUCAUAUGAAUCAUGUUCACCAACUUGUGAGUCUUUGCUACUGCGAGGAGUCUCAGAAAGUAUAUGAAAAGUUCAUAGCGCAAAUACUAAGUGAUCUUCGAAGAGGCUUAAGAACUUACUCACCCAAGACAGUGCUAGCUCGAAUGCAAAAGCUGAAAAGUAUCUAUUUCGCUCCUGCGAAGAAUGGAUUAGGGUGGAGGAAGUUUGAGGGCAGUUGGUUGACAUUGGAUCGAUAAGCCUCAACUCAACCCAAAACAGACAGAUCUGAAUUAGCCAUGGAUCAAUGAAGUAAAAAGUUUUCUGUUAUGAUGAGUUACUAUUGUUUCUGUUCUCAAUUCAAAACUGUGGGAUUUAUAAAGUGUAAAGAUAUGGUGUAUCAUAGACUGAUUUAGGUAGCUAGUAUUUGGUUAUACUUAUAGAAGCUAGAAUCACAAGAGAUUUUUGCUCGUGACCCGCAUCAAGAAUAAUAGGUGAAAAGAGAAUUAAGAUUAAUAGCAGGGUAUGCUAAGAAGCCUUGUCUAUGUCUCUAACUCUUAGAAAUGGUUUUGUUAGAAUCCUGCUACUGCCUGGUACAUACAAAUGAUGUUGUUCAUACUAGCGUGUUUUGAUCUGCAAUUCUCUUGUUGUGGAUCAUUAGAUGUAUAGUUAUCUCUGUCUCUUGCUCUCUGAAUGUUCAUGUAUGAAUUGACGUUUUCCUAUAUUAAAGUCUGGUUUGUGCUUUUCAAAAUU
Papaver somniferum (opium poppy) is the source of this 4008-nucleotide long non-coding RNA. RefSeq lists it as uncharacterized. The record is from RefSeq and is a predicted model, not a curated record. The transcript is spliced from 7 exons. NCBI's taxonomy places the organism in Eukaryota, Viridiplantae, Streptophyta, Magnoliopsida, Ranunculales, Papaveraceae.